UAAUAAGUGUUUUAUGGCACUUUUUAAAUCCAUAUCCACCUUGUGUGCAAUGUCAGUCGAUCUUCUUCAUGGAGAUCGACCAAACAUCAACCUUUAUCUUUUAACUCUUUGUCUGAAAAAUAUUACGAAUAAACAAUUCAAAAUA
This 145-nucleotide unclassified non-coding RNA is filed under the name soil metagenome. RNAcentral's name for it is "partial internal transcribed spacer 1". The record is from RNAcentral.